AUUGAACGCUGGCGGCAUGCCUUACACAUGCAAGUCGAACGGUAACAGGUCUUCGGAUGCUGACGAGUGGCGAACGGGUGAGUAAUACAUCGGAACGUGCCCGAGAGUGGGGGAUAACGAAGCGAAAGCUUUGCUAAUACCGCAUACGAUCUCAGGAUGAAAGCAGGGGACCGCAAGGCCUUGCGCCCACGGAGCGGCCGAUGGCAGAUUAGGUAGUUGGUGGGAUAAAAGCUUACCAAGCCGACGAUCUGUAGCUGGUCUGAGAGGACGACCAGCCACACUGGGACUGAGACACGGCCCAGACUCCUACGGGAGGCAGCAGUGGGGAAUUUUGGACAAUGGGCGCAAGCCUGAUCCAGCCAUGCCGCGUGCAGGAUGAAGGCCUUCGGGUUGUAAACUGCUUUUGUACGGAACGAAAAGACUCUGGUUAAUACCUGGGGUCCAUGACGGUACCGUAAGAAUAAGCACCGGCUAACUACGUGCCAGCCGCCGCAGUAA
This 498-nucleotide ribosomal RNA is filed under the name uncultured bacterium. Its description in RNAcentral is "partial 16S ribosomal RNA". It matches the Rfam family "Bacterial small subunit ribosomal RNA", at positions 30 to 523 of the family's 1533-position model. The record is from RNAcentral.